Monodelphis domestica (gray short-tailed opossum) is the source of this 114-nucleotide small nuclear RNA. NCBI's taxonomy places the organism in Eukaryota, Metazoa, Chordata, Mammalia, Didelphimorphia, Didelphidae. The record is from Ensembl.
GUAUUAUGUGAAACUAGUUCCUCUGAGAAAAAUGGAAGAGACCCUACUUGCCUUUACAUUACAUAUAUGAUGGAAGCAUUGCCAUCUUUUUUAUGGCAUCUAACUAUGUUUUAU